This 202-nucleotide long non-coding RNA is filed under the name Musa acuminata (dwarf banana). RNAcentral's name for it is "long non-coding RNA (MACU_LNC001988)". Lineage: Eukaryota; Viridiplantae; Streptophyta; Magnoliopsida; Zingiberales; Musaceae. The record is from RNAcentral.
UUACUUGUAGCUGAAAGCACCACAUUUGUCUCCAACUCUUACUGUUAGGGUUCAAUGCACUUUGAUGGAUUUCAUAUUAAUUCGAGUACAUAUAUAACGUCAAGUCUAAUCUGACUUUCACGUAAAGGUUUUUCUGGGAUCACUGGUCAUCCAAUCGAGAUCAGUUUGCUUCCACCAAAUGCACUAAAUUAGGCAAUUGAUC